AUUGAACGCUGGCGGCAGGCCUAACACAUGCAAGUCGAGCGAGCGGCGGACGGGUGAGUAAUGUCUGGGAACCUGCCUGAUGGUGGUGGAGUACUCCUGGAAACGGUAGCUAAUACCGCAUACCAUCAGAGGUGCCCAGAGGGGAGGAGCUAGUAGGUGGGGUAAUGGCUCACUCGGGCGACGAUCCCUAGCUGGUCUGAGAGGAUGACAAGCCACACGGGAACUGAGACACGGUCCAGACUCCGACGGGAGGCAGCAGGGGGGAAUAUGGCACAAUGGGCGAAAGCCUGAUGCAGCCAUGCCGCGUGUGUGAAGAAGGCCUUCGGGUUGUAAAGCACUUUAAGUGGGGAGGCGUUACCCGCAGAAGAAGCACCGGCUAACUCCGUGCCAGCAGCCGCGGUAAUAC
RNAcentral lists this ribosomal RNA (406 nucleotides) under uncultured bacterium. RNAcentral's name for it is "partial 16S ribosomal RNA". It matches the Rfam family "Bacterial small subunit ribosomal RNA", at positions 29 to 526 of the family's 1533-position model. The record is from RNAcentral.